GACGAACGCUGGCGGCGUGCCUAAUACAUGCAAGUCGAGCGGAAUGAUGAAGAAGCUUGCUUCUUCUGAUUUUUAGCGGCGGACGGGUGAGUAACACGUGGGCAACCUACCUUGUAGAUUGGGAUAACUCCGGGAAACCGGGGCUAAUACCGAAUAAUCCAUUUUGCUUCAUGGCGAGAUGUUAAAAGGCGGCUUCGGCUGUCACUACGAGAUGGGCCCGCGGCGCAUUAGCUAGUUGGUAGGGUAAUGGCCUACCAAGGCGACGAUGCGUAGCCGACCUGAGAGGGUGAUCGGCCACACUGGGACUGAGACACGGCCCAGACUCCUACGGGAGGCAGCAGUAGGGAAUCUUCCACAAUGGACGAAAGUCUGAUGGAGCAACGCCGCGUGAGUGAAGAAGGUUUUCGGAUCGUAAAACUCUGUUGUAAGGGAAGAACACGUACGAGAGUAACUGCUCGUACCUUGACGGUACCUUAUUAGAAAGCCACGGCUAACUACGUG
RNAcentral lists this ribosomal RNA (501 nucleotides) under uncultured bacterium. Its description in RNAcentral is "bacterial SSU rRNA". It matches the Rfam family "Bacterial small subunit ribosomal RNA", at positions 28 to 507 of the family's 1533-position model. The record is from RNAcentral.